ACGUCCAUCCUCGGGUGUUCUGGGGUUGAUUCUUGCUCUUUUUAAAGCACGUUUGGGUAUUUUCCACGCCGAGAGGAGAGCGGGAGGUGGCGGCUCGAAGGAGAAAAGCGGUGGAAGGGAAUGGAGGCAUGGACCUGCCCGCCCCGGCGCGCAAACGUUUAACUGAAACCCCAAGGAGGCUCAAGAAGAAAGAAGAAAAAACACCCAAGAAACCAAACUGGCCUCGGAAAAGGAGUUUAAAAAAAGAAAUGAGUGAAUAAACCCUUGGCUCCUCAGUC
Molecule: long non-coding RNA, 278 nt
Organism: Pezoporus flaviventris
Lineage: Eukaryota; Metazoa; Chordata; Aves; Psittaciformes; Psittacidae
Exons: 2
Source: RefSeq, a predicted model, not a curated record